Long non-coding RNA from Salvelinus sp. IW2-2015, 1122 nucleotides. RefSeq lists it as uncharacterized. The transcript has 3 exons. NCBI's taxonomy places the organism in Eukaryota, Metazoa, Chordata, Actinopteri, Salmoniformes, Salmonidae. The record is from RefSeq and is a predicted model, not a curated record.
ACUGUAGCUGGAGUUUAGCUUGCACUAAUCCACCCCAUAACCCUCCCCACCUUCCCUCCCUCUCUCGCUUUCCUUUAGCAAGUCGUUAAAGGCAUCCGCAUGCUUCAGGUCUGCUGGCGCUGAGCACGGCUAGGCGAACCGAACGAUUGUGCUCGCAUACUCCCUUAAAAAACCUUCACUUGAAAAACGAGAAAAAAUUGUCAAUAGUACUGUUUGUCCAUUUUGAGACCCCGUAGCCAGUGUACACUUCAUCAAAAUAGUCUGAAUUCAUCUAUGACGACUCAAGAAAUCUGUCAUUCAUUUUGACAUUUUUGUCAAGGAGAUCUUUAUCUCGCAAUUUUGCACCUGACUAGGAUGUUUGGUGCAGUAUUUCUCAAGUGAAAGAAUGUGCAUGGGGGGACGGGUCAUCUCUCGUUAAAUGACAACAGACACUUUAUUGAAGAAUCCCUACAAUUGACCAAUCACCAACGAGGGGACGUAGACUUCGGCUUGCCUCGGGAGAGAGAGAGAGAAAAAAUUGUGUUCCCGAACAGCCCAAGUUUCUUUCCCAAAGUCCAACGCGAACAAAAUGUCACAAAAAAUGUUGUCAUAAUAUAUGCACAAACUGUUUGGAACUGUUUGGGCUGGGAAGCAUGCGGACGCCUUAAGGCACUGUUCCAAACCCGACGUCAUGGCACGCUGUGUUAGGACUGUUUGGUGGUUCUUUUUGUUCUUUCCUUUUUUCUCAUUUUCUUUCCUAAUGUUUAGUUCUGCAGUACAGUGUACCUGGCCAUACAGCAAACUAGAGGUUUAUUAACAGCAGCAGGAGAGCAGACUGAAGAGCCAAGACUGAGCCGCCAGGAUGUUAUGAAGGGAAGGGGAUGCACAGGAGCAGCACCUGCAGAUGUUGUGUGUCCCUGCAUUUACUGUAACCACCUGCGUUCCUUCAACUGUGUGUCCAUGUUGAUAAAGAAGCCUUGGCUCCUACCGGUGACGACAGACCAACCUGAACCUUCCUCACCCAACCAACCCCCCCUCCCACACCGUCCUCCUCCCCCUCCCUCCCGUGUUGCCCGGGGUGCUGCUUUGCUGUGUGUUGCCAUGGAGACAGCCUGCCACAUGGGUGUUGUGUCGCUGUGUGUC